Molecule: ribosomal RNA, 473 nt
Filed under: uncultured bacterium
Lineage: Bacteria
Description: bacterial SSU rRNA
Rfam family: Bacterial small subunit ribosomal RNA
Source: RNAcentral
ACUCCUACGGGAGGCAGCAGUAGGGAAUCUUCCACAAUGGACGAAAGUCUGAUGGAGCAACGCCGCGUGAGUGAAGAAGGGUUUCGGCUCGUAAAACUCUGUUGUUAAAGAAGAACAUAUCUGAGAGUAACUGUUCAGGUAUUGACGGUAUUUAACCAGAAAGCCACGGCUAACUACGUGCCAGCAGCCGCGGUAAUACGUAGGUGGCAAGCGUUGUCCGGAUUUAUUGGGGCGUAAAGCGAGCGCAGGCGGUUUUUAAGUCUGAUGUGAAAGCCUUCGGCUCAACCGAAGAAGUGCAUCGGAAACUGGGAAACUUGAGUGCAGAAGAGGACAGUGGAACUCCAUGUGUAGCGGUGAAAUGCGUAGAUAUAUGGAAGAACACCAGUGGCGAAGGCGGCUGUCUGGUCUGUAACUGACGCUGAGGCUCGAAAGUAUGGGUAGCAAGCAGGAUUAGAUACCCUGGUAGGAUAGCG